ACUCCUACGGGAGGCAGCAGUGGGGAAUAUUGCACAAUGGGGGAAACCCUGAUGCAGCCAUGCCGCGUGUGUGAAGAAGGCCUUCGGUUGUAAAGCACUUUCUAGUAGGGAGGAAGGUAGUGUAGUUAACACCUGCAUUAUUUGUACGUUACCUACAGAAGAAGCACCGGCUAACUCCGUGCCAGCAGCCGCGGUAAGUACGGAGGGUGCGAGCGUUAAUCGGAAUUACUGGGCGUAAAGCGCAUGCAGGCGGCCUGUUAAGUCAGAUGUGAAAGCCCGGGGCUUAACCUCGGAAUUGCAUUUGAAACUGGCAGGCUAGAGUCUGUAGAGGGGUAGAAUUUCAGGUGUAG
RNAcentral lists this ribosomal RNA (350 nucleotides) under uncultured bacterium. Its description in RNAcentral is "bacterial SSU rRNA". It matches the Rfam family "Bacterial small subunit ribosomal RNA", at positions 335 to 678 of the family's 1533-position model. The record is from RNAcentral.